AUCCUUUUAUUCUGUCUGUUAGCAAAUGGAUACACUUUCUCUAACGUGCUUGAAAUACGGGGGUGGUGGAGUGUAACGUUUGUGACAGCUGGCCAUUGGUGCUUUCUUCAACAGUUCUUUUAAUAAUGUGAUGCAGUAUCCUAAAAUCUAUCAGUAGAACUCUGGAAACUGAAUAUUUUAAAGACCAUUCUGACUAUUUUAUUUCCUAGGUGAUAAUGCUAAGUUAACAGACUUAUAGUGAACAAAUGAGCUAAUAUAUCAAUGCACCUCCUAGCAUAGUAGGAUCACUGGAGACAGUAAAGUUUGAUUUUGAUAAAUGUUGAUCCUUCUUUUUUUGAGUUGAGUCUCACUGUGUUGCCCAGGCUGGCCUUGAACUCCUUGGCUCAAGUGAUCCUCCUGCCUCAGUCUCCUGGGUAGCUGGGACAAUAGGUGCAUGCUACUGUGCGUGGCUUGACCCUUAUUUCAACUUUGAACCUUAGAGUUUUCUUAGAACACUUUAUAUUCUCCCUUUCUUACUCAGUAAGACCAUUGUGUACUUUUGUUAGCUCUUGAUUAUCUCUGUUGGAGGGGAGGAGAACAGAAAAUUAUUGUACACAGCCA
Molecule: long non-coding RNA, 600 nt
Filed under: Homo sapiens (human)
Lineage: Eukaryota; Metazoa; Chordata; Mammalia; Primates; Hominidae
Description: HSALNT0200537
Source: RNAcentral